GAGUUUGAUCUUGGCUCAGGAUGAACGCUAGCGGCAGGCUUAACACAUGCAAGUCGAGGGGUAGAAGUUGCUUGCAACUUUGAGACCGGCGCACGGGUGCGUAACGCGUAUGCAAUCUACCUUGUACAGGGGGAUAGCCCAGAGAAAUUUGGAUUAAUACCCCAUAGUGUAAUUGAAUGGCAUCAUUUAAUUACUAAAGUUCCAACGGUACAAGAUGAGCAUGCGUCCUAUUAGCUAGUUGGUGUGGUAACGGCAUACCAAGGCUACGAUAGGUAGGGGUCCUGAGAGGGAGAUCCCCCACACUGGUACUGAGACACGGACCAGACUCCUACGGGAGGCAGCAGUGAGGAAUAUUGGACAAUGGGCGCAAGCCUGAUCCAGCCAUGCCGCGUGCAGGAAGACGGUCCUAUGGAUUGUAAACUGCUUUUAUACGGGAAGAAACACUCCUACGUGUAGGAACUUGACGGUACCGUAAGAAUAAGGAUCGGCUAACUCCGUGCCAGCCGCCGCAGUAAC
Molecule: ribosomal RNA, 516 nt
Filed under: uncultured Flavobacterium sp.
Lineage: Bacteria; Pseudomonadati; Bacteroidota; Flavobacteriia; Flavobacteriales; Flavobacteriaceae
Description: bacterial SSU rRNA
Rfam family: Bacterial small subunit ribosomal RNA
Source: RNAcentral